RNAcentral lists this long non-coding RNA (655 nucleotides) under Homo sapiens (human). RNAcentral's name for it is "HSALNT0292869". The record is from RNAcentral. Lineage: Eukaryota; Metazoa; Chordata; Mammalia; Primates; Hominidae.
AGCUCUCAGUAUGUGUAAACUAUGACAUGCAGGCCAAUUCACCUAGAAAGGCCUAUUUUCAAAAGCUCAUGUCCUCUGAAUUGAGGAACCACAGAUCAGAUCAGCCUCUUCAACCCCCCGCGAGGCUCCCAUUCAUGUAAGACACCCAUGGCUUUGUAAUGGCACCCAACGCUCUGGGCUGGCAUGAAAAUUGUGUGACUCACAUCAUGUGCCUCCCCAAGAAGAGUUUCUUAGCAGGCAUUUUGGAGGAAAAGAUUUGGAUCAGAAAUUCAGAAAUUACCUGGGCUCACAAAUAUAUGCCCCUCCAGCACCAUCCUGCAUUCUGCUUCCAAGAUACAUGAGCUUUCUGAAGAGCUGGUGAGAAUGCUGAAACUUCCUGGCCUUGGUUUCCCAUCUGGUAAAAUGAGGAAGACCAAAGCUUAACUCUCACAAGGAAUAUGCAGAUGAGGAAACCGAAGCUCUUGGGGUAACACGACUUGUGAAACUGCAUGCUACUCCUCAGUGGCAGGGUGGGGACUCUGGACAGAGGAACUGGCAAGGUCUUCUAGACCUUUGACGUGCAUAAACUGGCAGGUUUACAGAAUAACGAGGAAAACAAAGUGAAACAAAAGACUGUACCCGUGUGCUAAGAAUUUAUUACCCGCACAUCAAAAAA